This 442-nucleotide ribosomal RNA is filed under the name uncultured bacterium. RNAcentral describes it as "partial 16S ribosomal RNA". It matches the Rfam family "Bacterial small subunit ribosomal RNA", at positions 338 to 795 of the family's 1533-position model. The record is from RNAcentral.
CCUACGGGAGGCAGCAGUAGGGAAUCUUUCACAAUGGGCGAAAGCCUGAUGGAGCAACGCCGCGUGCAGGAUGAAGGCCUUAGGGGUGUAAACUGCUUUUAUAAGCGAGAAAUAUGAUGGUAACUUAUGAAUAAGGAACGGCUAACUACGUGACAGCAACCGCGGUCAUCCGUAGGAGACGAGCAUUAUACGGAGGUGCUUGGGGUUAAAAGUUGCGUAGGUGGUAUAAUAAGUCGCUAGUGAAAUGUUGUGGCUCAACCAUUCAGACUAUUAUCGAAACUGUUAAGCUAGAGACCGUUAGGGGUAACUGGAAUUUCUAGUGUAGGAGUGAAAUCCGUAGAUAUUAGAAAGAACACCAAUAGCGUAGGCAGGUUGCUGGGACGGUUCUGACACUAAGGCACGAAAGCGUAGGGAGCAAACGGGAUUAGAUACCCGAGUAGUC